RNAcentral lists this transfer RNA (90 nucleotides) under Nocardia cerradoensis. RNAcentral's name for it is "tRNA-Arg". Lineage: Bacteria; Bacillati; Actinomycetota; Actinomycetes; Mycobacteriales; Nocardiaceae. The record is from RNAcentral.
GCGGUACUGGCGGCGGUUUGCCGUGCGGCACUGCGGAUUCCGUCGAGGUCCCAGGCGGCCUCCGGCUGUUCGGGACGCAGCGGCACCGGG